This 951-nucleotide ribosomal RNA is filed under the name uncultured Ascomycota. RNAcentral's name for it is "eukaryotic LSU rRNA". It matches the Rfam family "Eukaryotic large subunit ribosomal RNA", at positions 1 to 965 of the family's 3401-position model. Lineage: Eukaryota; Fungi; Ascomycota. The record is from RNAcentral.
CGUUUGACCUCGGAUCAGGUAGGGAUACCCGCUGAACUUAAGCAUAUCAAUAAGCGGAGGAAAAGAAACCAACAGGGAUUGCCCUAGUAACGGCGAGUGAAGCGGCAACAGCUCAAAUUUGAAAUCUGGCUCUUUCAGAGUCCGAGUUGUAAUUUGCAGAGGGCGCUUUGGCUUUGGCAGCGGUCCAAGUUCCUUGGAACAGGACGUCACAGAGGGUGAGAAUCCCGUACGUGGUCGCUAGCUAUUGCCGUGUAAAGCCCCUUCGACGAGUCGAGUUGUUUGGGAAUGCAGCUCUAAAUGGGAGGUAAAUUUCUUCUAAAGCUAAAUAUUGGCCAGAGACCGAUAGCGCACAAGUAGAGUGAUCGAAAGAUGAAAAGCACUUUGGAAAGAGAGUCAAACAGCACGUGAAAUUGUUGAAAGGGAAGCGCUUGCAGCCAGACUUGCUUGCAGUUGCUCAUCCGGGCUUUUGCCCGGUGCACUCUUCUGCAGGCAGGCCAGCAUCAGUUUGGGCGGUGGGAUAAAGGUCUCUGUCACGUACCUUCCUUCGGGUUGGCCUUAUAGGGGAGACGCCAUACCACCAGCCUGGACUGAGGUCCGCGCAUCUGCUAGGAUGCUGGCGUAAUGGCUGUAAGCGGCCCGUCUUGAAACACGGACCAAGGAGUCUAACAUCUAUGCGAGUGUUUGGGUGUCAAGCCCGAGCGCGUAAUGAAAGUGAACGGAGGUGGGAACCCGCAAGGGUGCACCAUCGACCGAUCCUGAAGUUUACGGAAGGAUUUGAGUAAGAGCAUGGCUGUUGGGACCCGAAAGAUGGUGAACUAUGCUUGAAUAGGGUGAAGCCAGAGGAAACUCUGGUGGAGGCUCGCAGCGGUUCUGACGUGCAAAUCGAUCGUCAAAUUUGGGCAUAGGGGCCGAAAGACUAAUCGAACUAUCUAGUAGCUGGUUCCUGCCGAA